CCCUUAGAUGUUCUGGGCCGCACGCGCGCUACACUGAUGCAUUCAACAAGCCUAGCCUUGACCGAGAGGUCCGGGUAAUCUUUGAAACUGCAUCGUGAUGGGGCUAGAUUAUUGCAAUUAUUAAUCUUCAACGAGGAAUGCCUAGUAAGCGUGAUUCAUCAAAUCGCGUUGAUUACGUCCCUGCCCUUUGUACACACCGCCCGUCGCUCCUACCAAUUGAAUGUGUUGGUGAGGAGCUCGGAUUGGCAGCAGUUGGUGGUUCGCCACCGGCUAUUGCUGAGAAGUCCUCCAAACCGCCCCAUUUAGAGGAAGGAGAAGUCGUAACA
RNAcentral lists this ribosomal RNA (326 nucleotides) under uncultured eukaryote. Its description in RNAcentral is "partial 18S ribosomal RNA". It matches the Rfam family "Eukaryotic small subunit ribosomal RNA", at positions 1470 to 1796 of the family's 1831-position model. The record is from RNAcentral.